This 492-nucleotide ribosomal RNA is filed under the name uncultured bacterium. Its description in RNAcentral is "partial 16S ribosomal RNA". It matches the Rfam family "Bacterial small subunit ribosomal RNA", at positions 29 to 507 of the family's 1533-position model. The record is from RNAcentral.
AGUGAACGCUGGCGGCAUGCCUAAUACAUGCAAGUCGAGCGAACAGACAGUGAGCUUUCUCCUCUAACGUUGGCGAGUGACGGACGAGUAACACAUAGAUCACCUACCUAUAUUUCUUGGGGAAUUUCGUGGAGCAGCAUCUGCUACCACAUAAUAUGUUCUACCGGUGAAUUCAGUGGAUCAUCAGACUUUUCCUGUCUCUUUUAGCUGAUGUCGGAUUAGCUAGUUGGCGAGGUAAAGGACCACCAAGGCGACGAUGCGUAGCUGGUCUGAGAGGAUGAUCAGCCACACUGGAACUGAGACACGGUCCAGACUCCUACGGGAGGCAGCAGUGGGGAAUAUUCGACAAUGGGCGCAAGCCUGAUCCAGCCACACCGCGUGGGUGAAGAAGGCCUUCGGGUUGUAAAGCCCUUUUAUUGGGGAAGAAAAACAGUAGAAGAAAACCCCGCUGUUCUGACGGUACCCAAAGAAUAAGCACCGGCUAACUUCGUG